This 2662-nucleotide long non-coding RNA is filed under the name Vigna radiata. Its description in RNAcentral is "long non-coding RNA (VRAD_LNC017316)". The record is from RNAcentral. Lineage: Eukaryota; Viridiplantae; Streptophyta; Magnoliopsida; Fabales; Fabaceae.
CCCUUUUCACUUGAUUGUCACUUGUCUCUUUUCCAUUUUGACAAAAUUCUCAGGCUUUACAAAAUUACUUUAUAGAAGAGUGCAGAAAUAAAAUCCUAAAAAUAGCAAAAUUACAUAAACUAAAAACCUAAUUUUUAAAUAUAGGAAAAUCUGAAUUUAACAUGCAUAAACUAGAAAAUACAGGUUAUUACUAGCUCUCUAAAACGGUUCUUACAAGUCACCCAAUGAAGUAAUUCUAACUACUGAAUGAAAUUGUGUAGUCCACUUCCAAUUGGCGGCUUCACGACAACGUUAGUUUUCAUAUUAUUCUAAGGCAAACCCUUCACAUUGCACAUGUGUUUCAUGCUAGGCUUUCCUUUUCCAAAUUGUAGUUUUUCUCGUUUCGUUUUCUAAGCCAUCAUCAAUUUGAAUUUGGAUUCUCUUAAAGAUGUCUCAUGCUGUUCCUUGGAGUUGUUUUGUUGUUGUCAUCGCCACGUUCUGUUGGAAAAAUCUCCCUAUACACACUCAUACACACUCAUACCACCUGUUGGGAAAAACGGUGAACCCACACAAAUAAUUUUACUCUUCAAUCCAUUAUGGGUUUGACCCACACAAAUAAUAUUACUCUUCAAUCUAUGGUGGGUUGCUUUCAUUAAACUUUGACAACCUUUAAAUUGGUGCAAAUUGGAUCUUGGACCAAUUACAAAUAAUAAAAACUGACAAUAAAAUAUGAACUUACCUACAAAUAAAAUCUCCUUAUUCUAUCAUAAAAUAAUAUUCUAUCUAGAUAAACCAAAAUCAUAACUACUAUUCUUAUUUUAUCUCUAUCAAAUCAAACCAAAUAUUAUUAGACCCAAAACUAAUAAAAUAAUAAAUUUCUAAAUUUAAGUUUAUCUCAACACGUUCAUGUUCUAAUUGAAUUUUACGUACAUGCACUCUACAUCAACACCCAUAGAGAGUGGUGAGAUGAAAGAUUAAAGCUAUUCCUCCCUUGCUCCUGCGGGAUAAUAAAUACGCAAGAUGAGUACCUAUAUUAAUAAAUGUCAGAUUGCCAUUUUUAAAUAUAAAGAUCAUAUUCAGUCAAAAAUCUAGAGAUUGAAUUAUUAUUACAGGACCAAAAAUAUUAUUAAGCUUUAGAGGUAACUUCGUCUUUUUAAAUAAUUUAAAAAAUAAAGUGUUUCUGUACAUAAUUUAGUAGGACCGAAAGAUACACCUUUCUGUUGUAGCUUUCUUUAUUUUGUGAUGUUUGAUCUCUUGUUCCAAGCUCUUCAAGUUCGAAUGAAGGGAAAGGGUAUAUGUAAAAGGUACUCCAACACUCAAUGACUUUGCGUGAAAAUAAUGAUAAUAUUCAAUAGAGAGUAAGUAUUCAUAAUUAAUUCAAAGUUGUUUACCUUUGCGACUUAACCAAGUUAUUUUAUGGACACUAAACUGUCAUAGGUCCACCAAAACGAUCUUACCUUUUAAUUUUCGUCGGUUACUCAUUAACAGCUUUCUUAACCUGCAAUCAGUUAUCAAUAUUUUUAAUCAUUAUGUUAUUAGUUUAUUAACUUAUUUUAUUUGUUCAAUCCAUUGACCCAAUAACAAUGUCUUAAACGCUGACCCAAUUAUGACCUAACAUAAUAUCUUGGGGGUUACUCCCUACACCUCCCCAUUUGCUGCCUCCACCUCCUCAUUUAUUUUUUACCUUUCAUUCUAUUUUUUUAUUCCUAUUCUAUCCUUUUAAUAUAAGUUUACUUUAGAUUAAAAUUUUAUAAUUUUUACUCACUAUAAUUAUUUCAUUCUUACUCGUUAGUCAUCGUGGUUCCUCUUCUCUUUGCUGUGAGAAUUUAGUGAGUGAAAGAUUAGUGAAAAAAAUUAUUUUAAGAAUUACAAAAAUUCAUCUCUCUAUUGAAGGUAGUGGUGCUCUGAAAACUUCUGGGUGAAUAAACGUCAGUAACCCUUCACAAAAAUAAACCAGUACGUAACUUAAACGGAUAUGAGUAUCCGUCUACGGAUGUCAACUUCCGUUUCGCUAUGCUAAGGUUCCUUUUAGGUCCCAACUUUUGAGUAAUGUGUACGUUGCAGAGGUUGGUUAAUGGCAGUAAAAAAAAAGAAUGAAAAUCUAAAUUUAAAAAAUUGAAUUUUGGGAUGAAGUCAAGAGGAAAAAGCUGAUCAAUGAUGCCGCAGUUGAAAGCAAAAUGCCAAAUACUACGAUUCAGAAUUUUGGAAACUGAGGUUUGACAGCUAAUUCUCUUUUUUAAUCCUUAAGAUCCUCAAUCAUUCAUCUUCCACUUUACCCAAUUACAUUUUACUAUUCAAGUUUUAAUCUUCAACAACAUUGCUUCAAAAGGGUACUUUUAAAUUCUGUAGAAUGAACUCAAAUUGUGUAUUUAUUUAAAGUAAAGUUGCUUCAACAAAGACGAAGCACUAACCGUCGCGAACCAUCCAAUGUAAACAGUGAAACACCACCGCACACAACAAUAGGGCACAACACCGCACCGCAUCACAGCAACGCACCACCACACUGCACCACAGCAACGCACCACCGCACCGCACCGGAGAGCAAAGUAAAGUUUGGAGAGUUUGGAUGAGAAGAAGAGUCAUAAAGUUGGAAGAAGAAGGGACAGAUCUAAAAUUUGGGGAGGUGUGGGCUGUGAGGCUCUGAGGAGAAUAAAAAUAAAUUAUAUAGCUUCAGGGUUUCUCC